GGGGCGGUGGUGUAGUUGGGAGUCACAUUCGACUGAAGAUCGAAAGGUCACCCGUUCGAUCCGGGUUCGUCCCA
RNAcentral lists this transfer RNA (74 nucleotides) under Talaromyces stipitatus ATCC 10500. Its description in RNAcentral is "tRNA-Phe (GAA) (tRNA-Phe-GAA-2-1, tRNA-Phe-GAA-2-2)". It matches the Rfam family "tRNA". Rfam says of the family: Transfer RNA (tRNA) molecules are approximately 80 nucleotides in length. Their secondary structure includes four short double-helical elements and three loops (D, anti-codon, and T loops). The record is from RNAcentral. Lineage: Eukaryota; Fungi; Ascomycota; Eurotiomycetes; Eurotiales; Trichocomaceae.